GAUGAACGCUGGCGGCGUGCCUAAGACAUGCAAGUCGAGCGGGUUUAGACCCGCGGCAAACGGGUGAGUAAUAUCUAGGAAUGUCCCACUAGUUGAGCAUAACCUACCGAAAGGUAGAGCAAUUCUCAAUGUGACCGCAAGGUCAAAGUCGCAAGACGCUAGUGAAGCAGCCUGGACACCAUCAGCUAGUUGGUAAGGUA
This 200-nucleotide ribosomal RNA is filed under the name uncultured bacterium. Its description in RNAcentral is "partial 16S ribosomal RNA". It matches the Rfam family "Bacterial small subunit ribosomal RNA", at positions 28 to 259 of the family's 1533-position model. The record is from RNAcentral.